This 253-nucleotide ribosomal RNA is filed under the name uncultured bacterium. RNAcentral's name for it is "partial 16S ribosomal RNA". It matches the Rfam family "Bacterial small subunit ribosomal RNA", at positions 524 to 776 of the family's 1533-position model. The record is from RNAcentral.
UACGGAGGGGGCUAGCGUUGUUCGGAAUUACUGGGCGUAAAGCGCGCGUAGGCGGCUUUGUAAGUCAGAGGUGAAAGCCUGGAGCUCAACUCCAGAACUGCCUUUGAGACUGCAUCGCUUGAAUCCGGGAGAGGUGAGUGGAAUUCCGAGUGUAGAGGUGAAAUUCGUAGAUAUUAGGAAGAACACCAGUGGCGAAGGCGGCUCACUGGUCCGGUACUGACGCUGAGGUGCGAAGGCGUGGGGAGCAAACAGG